UACGUAGGGGGCUAGCGUUGUCCGGAUUUAUUGGGCGUAAAGAGCUCGUAGGCGGUUUUGUCACGUCUGCUGUGAAAACUGGAGGCUCAACCUCCAGCCUGCAGUGGGGUACGGGCAGACUAGAGUGCGGUAGGGGGAGAUUGGAAUUCCUGGUGUAGCGGUGGAAUGCGCAGAUAUCAGGAGGAACACCGAUGCGAAGGCAGAUCUC
This 208-nucleotide ribosomal RNA is filed under the name uncultured bacterium. RNAcentral's name for it is "partial 16S ribosomal RNA". It matches the Rfam family "Bacterial small subunit ribosomal RNA", at positions 524 to 729 of the family's 1533-position model. The record is from RNAcentral.